Molecule: ribosomal RNA, 358 nt
Filed under: uncultured Chloroflexota bacterium
Lineage: Bacteria; Bacillati; Chloroflexota
Description: bacterial SSU rRNA
Rfam family: Bacterial small subunit ribosomal RNA
Source: RNAcentral
CGCGAAACACCUUACCCAGAUUUGACAUGCAGCUGCACAGCGGUGAAAGCCGUCUCCUUCGAGGGUGCUGCACAGAUGCUGCAUGGCUGUCGUCAGCUCGUGUCGUGAGAUGUUGGGUUCAGUCCCGCAACGAGCGCAACCCCGCCCCUUGUUAUAUGUGUCUAGGGGGACAGCCGCCCGCGAGGGCGGAGGAAGGCGGGGAUGACGUCAAGUCCGCAUGGCUCUUACGUCUGGGGCGACACACACGCUACAAUGGUCAGCACAAUGCGUCGCUUGCCGGUAACGGUUGGCUAAUCGCGAAAGCUGGUCUCAGUGCAGAUCGGGGGCUGAACUCGCCCCGUGAAGGCGGAGUUGCUAG